RNAcentral lists this ribosomal RNA (395 nucleotides) under Anaplasma phagocytophilum. Its description in RNAcentral is "bacterial SSU rRNA". It matches the Rfam family "Bacterial small subunit ribosomal RNA", at positions 61 to 483 of the family's 1533-position model. The record is from RNAcentral. Lineage: Bacteria; Pseudomonadati; Pseudomonadota; Alphaproteobacteria; Rickettsiales; Anaplasmataceae.
GUCGAACGGAUUAUUCUUUAUAGCUUGCUAUGAGAAUAAUUAGUGGCAGACGGGUGAGUAAUGCAUAGGAAUCUACCUAGUAGUAUAGGAUAGCCACUAGAAAUGGUGGGUAAUACUGUAUAAUCCCUGCGGGGGAAAGAUUUAUCGCUACAUGAUGAGCCUAUGUUAGAUUAGCUAGUUGGUGGGGUAAUGGCCUACCAAGGCAGUGAUCUGUAGCUGGUCUGAGAGGAUGAUCAGCCACACUGGAACUGAGACACGGUCCAGACUCCUACGGGAGGCGGCAGUGGGGAAUAUUGGACAAUGGGCGCAAGCCUGAUCCAGCUAUGCCGCGUGAGUGAGGAAGGCCUUAGGGUUGUAAAACUCUUUCAGUAGGGAAGAUAAUGACGGUACCUAUA